This 84-nucleotide ribosomal RNA is filed under the name Corymbia xanthope. RNAcentral describes it as "partial 26S ribosomal RNA". It matches the Rfam family "Eukaryotic large subunit ribosomal RNA", at positions 1 to 83 of the family's 3401-position model. The record is from RNAcentral. Lineage: Eukaryota; Viridiplantae; Streptophyta; Magnoliopsida; Myrtales; Myrtaceae.
GCGACCCCAGGUCAAGCGGGGCUACCCGCUGAGUUUAAGCAUAUCAAUAAGCGGAGGAAAAGAAACUAACAAGGAUUCCCUUAG